ACUCAAAUGAAUAGACGGGGGCUCGCACAAGCGGUGGAGCGCGUGGCUUAAUUCGUAGCUAAGCGAGGAACCUUACCAAGGCUAGAAACCAUACUGCACGCCCCGGGAAACCGGGGAAGCCUUCGAGGGUGUAUGGCAGGUGAUGCAUGGCCGUCGUCAGUUCGUGGCUUGAGUUGUUCCCUUAAGUGGGGAAACGAACGCAACCCUCGUUGUCUGUUAUAUUUGUCAGGCGAGACUGCUCCCUCACGGGAGAGGAAGGUGAGGAUGACGCCAGGUCAGCAUGUCCCUUGAUGCCUUGGGCUGCACACACGCUACAAUGGGUACUACAACGGGACGCAAUACCGUAAGGUGGAGCAAAUCCUUAUAAAAGUAUCCCCAGUUCGGAUUGAGGGCUGCAAUUCGCCCUCAUGAAGUUGGAAUCGCUAGUAAUCCCGGAUCAGCACGCCGGGGUGAAUACGUUCCCGAGCCUUGUACACACCGCCCGU
Molecule: ribosomal RNA, 485 nt
Filed under: uncultured bacterium
Lineage: Bacteria
Description: partial 16S ribosomal RNA
Rfam family: Bacterial small subunit ribosomal RNA
Source: RNAcentral